Molecule: ribosomal RNA, 468 nt
Filed under: uncultured bacterium
Lineage: Bacteria
Description: partial 16S ribosomal RNA
Rfam family: Bacterial small subunit ribosomal RNA
Source: RNAcentral
GACGAACGCUGGCGGCGUGCUUAACACAUGCAAGUCGAACGGAAAGGCCCUGCUUUUGUGGGGUGCUCGAGUGGCGAACGGGUGAGUAACACGUGAGUAACCUGCCCUUGACUUUGGGAUAACUUCUGGAAACUGGGGCUAAUACCGGAUAGGAGCUCCUGCUGCAUGGUGGGGGUUGGAAAGUUUCGGCGGUUGGGGAUGGACUCGCGGCUUAUGCGCUUGUUGGUGGGGUAGUGGCUUACCAAGGCUUUGACGGGUAGCCGGCCUGAGAGGGUGACCGGCCACAUUGGGACUGAGAUACGGCCCAGACGCCUACGGUACGCAGCAGUGGGGAAUAUUGCACAAUGGGCGGAAGCCUGAUGCAGCAACGCCGCGUGCGGGAUGACGGCCUUCGGGUUGUAAACCGCUUUCGCCUGUGACGAAGCGUGAGUGACGGUAAUGGGUAAAGAAGCACCGGCUAACUACGUG